UGUAAGAUUGUUGGGGGCAGAAAACGUCUCUACCAACUCUGUUAUACUCUCCCAAGCACUUAGUACAGUGGUCUGCACUCAGUAAACGCUCAGCAAAUACCCUUGAUUGAUUUGUGCCCCUGAGAAGCUGCUUGGUUGGAAAUCUAAGCUGUUUGACUAUUAUUUUAUGAACUCUUCUCUUUUGAGAAGUCAACAGGUUUUUAAAGUCUAAGGUGUGAUCGGGCACUACAUUUCCAUAUUUAUAUUAUCAGGAGCUCUGAUCACACUUCAUAGCUUUCAUUCUUCCUCUUGUUUGUGAAUGUCUUUUAGUCUGAGUGUUGAAAUGUAUUCUCACUCAAACUCUAUCCCUCCAUCGCCAAUAGCAGGAGCCUUUAUAGAAGCGCUGAAUGAUUUUCGCCAAUAAGAAAUGCCAUCAUGCAAUUCUUCAAAGUGACUCCAUUUUCAUUUAAGAAAUACUGUCAUCCAGCCUGAAUUGGACAAGGGAGCAAAACAAGGAGAAUGGGAACUCCCCCAAUGGCAAGCCACUGAACGGUGCUCGGCAAGAGACCAAGAGAGUAAGCGCUCAAAAAAUACUAUCGUCAACAUCACGGCAGUCGGACCUCUGGAGCGGGAGUUUCCAGCAGCUCAAGGGAUUGGUCGCAAUCUGGAGAUGCAGACACUGUCCCUGUGUAGCGACGUCCUUGGUGUUCCAAGAUGAUGCGUCUGGCAGUGUUGCCAUAGUUAGGCUGGAGAAAAAUAUGCGGAGGAAGGUGAUUUUUCAAACGAGCUUCCCAACCCUGUCAUCAUCAAACAGCUGUUCGGCGUCCCUCAGCUCCAGCGCCGGGAAGCGACAUUACGGGAUCAUUUUUGCCUCCUUACUCCUCCCCUCGGGCCCCCCAGUUUUGAGUGGCCUCCGUGCCAAAUUCAAACUUGGAACUUGAAAGUUGACAGUUGCAGUAAUGAGGGGUUUUUUCAUUUUUUGUUUUGUUUUGAGCAAUAGCCACUCAAAUGAGGGAAGGAGGAUGGCAGAACAUGGAGGCACAUAACUAGACGGUGAAUCGUGUGGGAAAGGCACUACGUCCAACCUGAUUAUCCUUUAUCCCAGCCCUCAGUGUACUCCUUGGUGCUUAAUGAAUGCUCCAAUUAUUAGAAUCUUUAUGAAUUUUGUUUAAGGUGUUAAUCAUCGUUUAAGCCUAUGAUAAAAUAAUCCCCAAAUAAAAGGGAUGUUUCCAAGCGUAUAUUGUUGCCGUUUGGAAGGGUACAGCUAAUUCUCAUACCAUGGAAGAGUUGGCUCCUGAUGAUGAGAGUGAUAAUAAUGUUAAUUGAGGUGUUUAAGUGCUUUCUAUAUGUCAAGCACUGUACUAAACACUUGGGGUAGAGACAAGAUGAUCAGAUCCCACGUGGGGCUCACAACUUGAGUAGAAGGGAGAUCAGGGGUAGAAUCCACCUUUUGCAGAAGAGGGAACUGAGACACAGAGAAGUUAGGUGACUUGCUCAGUGUCACACAGCAGACAAGUAGCAGAGCUGAGUUUAGAACCCAGGACCUCUGACUCCCAGGCCCGUGCUUUUCCACUAGGCCAUGCUGCUUCUCCCAACAGUGCUCGGCACAUAGUAAGCGCUUAACAAAUACCAAC
This 1613-nucleotide long non-coding RNA is filed under the name Ornithorhynchus anatinus (platypus). RNAcentral's name for it is "lncRNA (ENSOANG00000033057.2)". Lineage: Eukaryota; Metazoa; Chordata; Mammalia; Monotremata; Ornithorhynchidae. The record is from RNAcentral.